UCCAACAAAGAAGAAAGAACCAAGUCGAAAGAAAGAAAAGAAAAAGAAAAGAAGAAUUG
This 59-nucleotide non-coding RNA is filed under the name Heterosigma akashiwo. The record is from RNAcentral. Lineage: Eukaryota; Raphidophyceae; Chattonellales; Chattonellaceae.